CCUACGGGUGGCAGCAGUGAGGAAUCUUGGUCAAUGGGCGCGAGCCUGAACCAGCCACGUCGCGUGAAUGAUGACUGCCCUCCGGGUUGUAAACUUCUUUUAUAAAGGAAUAAAGUGUGGCACGUGUGCCUUUUUGUAUCUACUUUAUGAAUAAGGAUCGGCUCACUCCGUUCCAGCAGCCGCGGUAAUACGGAGGAUCCGUGCGUUAUCCGGAUUUAUUGGGUUUAAAGGGAGCGCAGAUGGGUUGUCAAGUCAGUUGUGAAAGUUUGCGGCUCAACCGUAAAAGUGCAAUUGAUACUGGCAGUCUUGAGUACAGUUGAGGGAGGCGGAAUUCGAUGUGUAGCGGUGAAAUGCGUAGAGAUCACGAAGAACACCGAUUGCGAAGGCAGCUUACUAAACUGCCACUGACAUUGAUGCUCGAAAGUGUGGGUAGCAAACAGGAUUAGAUACCCUAGUAGUC
This 460-nucleotide ribosomal RNA is filed under the name uncultured bacterium. Its description in RNAcentral is "partial 16S ribosomal RNA". It matches the Rfam family "Bacterial small subunit ribosomal RNA", at positions 338 to 795 of the family's 1533-position model. The record is from RNAcentral.